AUUCAUAAUGAGGAAAAUCUGGAAGAUGUUUAUAUAUGAUAAAAUGUUAUGUAUUUCAGUAGAAUUCAUACGAACACACAGCAUGGUAUAGUCUAACACUAAACCAAGGGCAGGGAGAUCCAGGUUGUGGUACCUACAAUGAAACCACAGACAAAUGCAAGAGAAUGGCAGGGGCAGCAACUUCCAUUGAAAUUGUAGACAAGUUGUCAUUCUGGAUACUCUCCCUAAACCACAAGACAGGUCCUACUGGGGAACGAGCAGAUACGUGGCAGCCCAGGGUUAAGGUCUCUCCACUUCUGACUGAAACUGGAUUCUCAGGGUGCUGCUUCUGGGGGAGAAGCCGUGCGACUUGCAGGUGAAGCUCAUUGUCUGCCAGACACCAUGCGGGGAGAGAGUUUGGCUACAAGAGGAGCAUCAAUGAACAGUAAGCAUGACUGUGGUCAUCAGCACUAACCAUACGUGUGUGACACUGUGGAGAAG
Molecule: long non-coding RNA, 480 nt
Filed under: Vulpes vulpes (red fox)
Lineage: Eukaryota; Metazoa; Chordata; Mammalia; Carnivora; Canidae
Description: lncRNA (ENSVVUG00000007908.1)
Source: RNAcentral